UCCAGCUUCACAGACUAUCCUUGCCAGAAUGUUCUUUGUCAUACUCAAGCAAGACUUUCCAGUAUUUAUUCCCGGACUGCUUCCUUGUUGCCGACCUCGCCUGUCUUUGACUCUCCUGCUUCCCCUGCUCCCACUCAGCCUUCUGUCCCCGACCAAGAGCUCUGCUUCUACGUUCCUGGUUUCUUUUCUCCAUGGCUGUUUGGUGAGACUGUCCCGAGCUCUUCAUAGAUCCACUCAUCAUCGUCAUUGUCAAGACCCUCGCUGCCUACAGUCGGCUUCGCACAGGUGUGUUGGCUUCUCCCGUGUGUACUCCUGGUUCCGGAUUCCCUGCUCAUCAGACAUCGCCUUCUGCCUACUCCCUUACGGUACCAUUGCACACAUUUGAAUUGUUUGUGUGCAUCCAGCAGAUGCCACUGACACACCUGUUCUCUGCCUUGGUUUGCCACACCAAGCAGUUCGGACUGAACCUGAGUCUUGGAAGGUUCUGAGCCAACAAUUUGACUCUCACUGUUUUUUCAUCUGCCAGCUCACUCUGUGUUUGACAAGUGGUUUCAUUAAAGACUAUUAGAAACUGC
Molecule: non-coding RNA, 575 nt
Organism: Epinephelus lanceolatus (giant grouper)
Lineage: Eukaryota; Metazoa; Chordata; Actinopteri; Perciformes; Serranidae
Source: RefSeq, a predicted model, not a curated record